Molecule: ribosomal RNA, 472 nt
Filed under: Streptococcus sp. oral taxon 431
Lineage: Bacteria; Bacillati; Bacillota; Bacilli; Lactobacillales; Streptococcaceae
Description: bacterial SSU rRNA
Rfam family: Bacterial small subunit ribosomal RNA
Source: RNAcentral
GACGAACGCUGGCGGCGUGCCUAAUACAUGCAAGUAGAACGCUGAAGGAGGAGCUUGCUUCUCCGGAUGAGUUGCGAACGGGUGAGUAACGCGUAGGUAACCUGCCUGGUAGCGGGGGAUAACUAUUGGAAACGAUAGCUAAUACCGCAUAACAGUAGAUAUUGCAUGAUAUCUGCUUGAAAGGUGCAAUUGCAUCACUACCAGAUGGACCUGCGUUGUAUUAGCUAGUUGGUGAGGUAACGGCUCACCAAGGCGACGAUACAUAGCCGACCUGAGAGGGUGAUCGGCCACACUGGGACUGAGACACGGCCCAGACUCCUACGGGAGGCAGCAGUAGGGAAUCUUCGGCAAUGGACGGAAGUCUGACCGAGCAACGCCGCGUGAGUGAAGAAGGUUUUCGGAUCGUAAAGCUCUGUUGUAAGAGAAGAACGAGUGUGAGAGUGGAAAGUUCACACUGUGACGGUAUCUACCA